RNAcentral lists this ribosomal RNA (1528 nucleotides) under Klebsiella pneumoniae. RNAcentral's name for it is "bacterial SSU rRNA". It matches the Rfam family "Bacterial small subunit ribosomal RNA". The record is from RNAcentral. Lineage: Bacteria; Pseudomonadati; Pseudomonadota; Gammaproteobacteria; Enterobacterales; Enterobacteriaceae.
AGAGUUUGAUCAUGGCUCAGAUUGAACGCUGGCGGCAGGCCUAACACAUGCAAGUCGAGCGGUAGCACAGAGAGCUUGCUCUCGGGUGACGAGCGGCGGACGGGUGAGUAAUGUCUGGGAAACUGCCUGAUGGAGGGGGAUAACUACUGGAAACGGUAGCUAAUACCGCAUAACGUCGCAAGACCAAAGUGGGGGACCUUCGGGCCUCAUGCCAUCAGAUGUGCCCAGAUGGGAUUAGCUAGUAGGUGGGGUAACGGCUCACCUAGGCGACGAUCCCUAGCUGGUCUGAGAGGAUGACCAGCCACACUGGAACUGAGACACGGUCCAGACUCCUACGGGAGGCAGCAGUGGGGAAUAUUGCACAAUGGGCGCAAGCCUGAUGCAGCCAUGCCGCGUGUGUGAAGAAGGCCUUCGGGUUGUAAAGCACUUUCAGCGGGGAGGAAGGCGGUGAGGUUAAUAACCUCAUCGAUUGACGUUACCCGCAGAAGAAGCACCGGCUAACUCCGUGCCAGCAGCCGCGGUAAUACGGAGGGUGCAAGCGUUAAUCGGAAUUACUGGGCGUAAAGCGCACGCAGGCGGUCUGUCAAGUCGGAUGUGAAAUCCCCGGGCUUAACCUGGGAACUGCAUUCGAAACUGGCAGGCUAGAGUCUUGUAGAGGGGGGUAGAAUUCCAGGUGUAGCGGUGAAAUGCGUAGAGAUCUGGAGGAAUACCGGUGGCGAAGGCGGCCCCCUGGACAAAGACUGACGCUCAGGUGCGAAAGCGUGGGGAGCAAACAGGAUUAGAUACCCUGGUAGUCCACGCCGUAAACGAUGUCGAUUUGGAGGUUGUGCCCUUGAGGCGUGGCUUCCGGAGCUAACGCGUUAAAUCGACCGCCUGGGGAGUACGGCCGCAAGGUUAAAACUCAAAUGAAUUGACGGGGGCCCGCACAAGCGGUGGAGCAUGUGGUUUAAUUCGAUGCAACGCGAAGAACCUUACCUGGUCUUGACAUCCACAGAACUUACCAGAGAUGCAUUGGUGCCUUCGGGAACUGUGAGACAGGUGCUGCAUGGCUGUCGUCAGCUCGUGUUGUGAAAUGUUGGGUUAAGUCCCGCAACGAGCGCAACCCUUAUCCUUUGUUGCCAGCGGUCCGGCCGGGAACUCAAAGGAGACUGCCAGUGAUAAACUGGAGGAAGGUGGGGUUGACGUCAAGUCAUCAUGGCCCUUACGACCAGGGCUACACACGUGCUACAAUGGCAUAUACAAAGAGAAGCGACCUCGCGAGAGCAAGCGGACCUCAUAAAGUAUGUCGUAGUCCGGAUUGGAGUCUGCAACUCGACUCCAUGAAGUCGGAAUCGCUAGUAAUCGUAGAUCAGAAUGCUACGGUGAAUACGUUCCCGGGCCUUGUACACACCGCCCGUCACACCAUGGGAGUGGGUUGCAAAAGAAGUAGGUAGCUUAACCUUCGGGAGGGCGCUUACCACUUUGUGAUUCAUGACUGGGGUGAAGUCGUAACAAGGUAACCGUAGGGGAACCUGCGGUUGGAUCACCU